This 367-nucleotide ribosomal RNA is filed under the name uncultured bacterium. RNAcentral's name for it is "bacterial SSU rRNA". It matches the Rfam family "Bacterial small subunit ribosomal RNA", at positions 432 to 816 of the family's 1533-position model. The record is from RNAcentral.
CCUUUCGACCGGGACGAUUAUGACGGUACCGGUAGAAGAAGCCCCGGCUAACUUCGUGCCAGCAGCCGCGGUAAUACGAAGGGGGCUAGCGUUGUUCGGAAUUACUGGGCGUAAAGGGCGCGUAGGCGGUGGGUCAAGUCCGGUGUGAAAUCUCCGGGCUCAACUCGGAGGCUGCAUCCGAAACUGUCCUGCUUGAGUGUGGGAGAGGUGCGUGGAAUUCCCGGUGUAGCGGUGAAAUUCGUAGAUUUCGGGAGGAACACCUGUGGCGAAAGCGGCGCGCUGGACCAUGACUGACGCUGAGGCACGAAAGCUUGGGGAGCAAACAGGAUUAAAUACCCUGGUAGUCCUAGCCCUAAACGAUGAGUGC